AUGCACGCUGGCGGCUUGCCUCAUACAUGCAAGUCGCGCGCACAGACGAGGAGCUUGCUCCUCUGACGUUAGCGGCGGCCGGGUGAGUAACACGUGGAUAACCUACCUAUAAGACUGGGAUAACUUCGGGAAACCGGAGCUAAUACCGGAUAAUAUAUUGAACCGCAUGGUUCAAUAGUGAAAGACGGUUUUGCUGUCACUUAUAGAUGGAUCCGCGCCGCAUUAGCUAGUUGGUAAGGUAACGGCUUACCAAGGCAACGAUGCGUAGCCGACCUGAGAGGGUGAUCGGCCACACUGGAACUGAGACACGGUCCAGACUCCUACGGGAGGCAGCAGUAGGGAAUCUUCCGCAAUGGGCGAAAGCUUGACGGAGCAACGCCGCGUGAGUGAUGAAGGUCUUCGGAUCGUAAAACUCUGUUAUUAGGGAAGAACAAAUGUGUAAGUAACUAUGCACGUCUUGACGGUACCUAAUCAGAAAGCCACGGCUAACUACGUG
RNAcentral lists this ribosomal RNA (496 nucleotides) under uncultured bacterium. RNAcentral describes it as "partial 16S ribosomal RNA". It matches the Rfam family "Bacterial small subunit ribosomal RNA", at positions 29 to 507 of the family's 1533-position model. The record is from RNAcentral.